Molecule: ribosomal RNA, 524 nt
Filed under: uncultured bacterium
Lineage: Bacteria
Description: partial 16S ribosomal RNA
Rfam family: Bacterial small subunit ribosomal RNA
Source: RNAcentral
GACGAACGCUGGCGGCGUGCUUAACACAUGCAAGUCGAACGAGACGAUUGAAAGCUUGCUUUCGAAAGUCGAGUGGCAAACGGGUGAGUAACGCGUAGACAACCUGCCUUUGAGAUGGGGACAACAGUUCGAAAGGACUGCUAAUACCGAAUGUUGUAUAUUUUCCACAUGGAAGAUAUAUUAAAGAUGGCCUCUAUUUAUAAGCUAUCGCUCAAAGAUGGGUCUGCGUCCGAUUAGCUGGUUGGUGGGGUAACGGCCUACCAAGGCGACGAUCAGGAGCCGGUCUGAGAGGAUGAACGGCCACAUUGGGACUGAGACACGGCCCAGACUCCUACGGGAGGCAGCAGUGGGGAAUCUUCCACAAUGGACGAAAGUCUGAUGGAGCAACGCCGCGUGAGUGAAGAAGGGUUUCGGCUCGUAAAGCUCUGUUGUCGGGGACGAAUGUGCAGUAUUUGAAUAAAGUACUGCAAUGACGGUACCUGACGAGGAAGCCACGGCUAACUACGUGACAGCCGCCGCCGUAC